AUAGAGACUCAGAGCUGCAUAUCAAUAAGCGGAGGAAAAGAAACUAAUAAGGAUUCCCUUAGUAACGGCGAGUGAAGCGGGAAGAGCUCAAAUUUGAAAUCUUCAAGGUUCUACCCUGACGAAUUGUAGUUUAUAGAAGUGUUUUCUGUUAGUAGAGUGGCAAAAGUUCUUUGGAAUAGGACAUCAUAGAGGGUGAGAAUCCCGUAUUUGGUCAUUCUUUCUAGCUUUGUGAUACACUUUCAACGAGUCGGAUUGUUUGGGAAUGCAGUCCAAAAUGGGUGGUAAAUUUCAUCUAAAGCUAAAUAUUGGCGAGAGACCGAUAGCGAACAAGUACCGUGAGGGAAAGAUGAAAAGAACUUUGAAAAGAGAGUUAAACAGUACGUGAAAUUGUCAAAAGGGAAGCGUUUGACACCAGUGUUGUUUUUCCGAAAAUCAAUUACGAAUGUUUUGUUUUUGAGAAGUUAUGACUUCAUCGGCUUGCUUCUCUCUUUACGAAACUUUCUUAAUGCACUUUUCGGUUAACAAGUCAACAUCAAUUUCUUUUGUUGUAAAAGGGUAUGAGGAAGGUGGCUUUCUUUUCGGAGAAAGUGUUUAUAGCCUUGUACCUCUGCAAUCGGAGAGAUUGAGGUCUGCAGCGUAGAUCCUUCGGGGUUAGAUACAUUUGUGCUAAGUUAUAGCUUUUCAUAGACAACUUGUUGACUAUGUUAAGUCUUGUAGCUUACUCGCUUAUGCUAUUUUACCUACGCUUAGGAUGUUGACGAGACUGUCGAUCUC
RNAcentral lists this ribosomal RNA (774 nucleotides) under uncultured Neocallimastigales. Its description in RNAcentral is "partial large subunit ribosomal RNA". It matches the Rfam family "Eukaryotic large subunit ribosomal RNA", at positions 23 to 647 of the family's 3401-position model. Lineage: Eukaryota; Fungi; Neocallimastigomycota; Neocallimastigomycetes; Neocallimastigales. The record is from RNAcentral.